Molecule: ribosomal RNA, 497 nt
Filed under: uncultured bacterium
Lineage: Bacteria
Description: partial 16S ribosomal RNA
Rfam family: Bacterial small subunit ribosomal RNA
Source: RNAcentral
GAUGAACGCUGGCGGCGUGCCUAAUACAUGCAAGUCGAGCGAACAGACGGGGAGUUUCCUCUUCUGACGAGUGCCGCACGCGGGUGUGUCACAUGUGUAUCCCCCACCUAUGCGACUGGGAUCACUUCGGAACACCAGCUCUUAUCCCAUGUCAUCUAUUAAUCCGCGUUGUUCGUUUAUAAGAGGCAGCUUUUCUGUCACUAAUAGGUGCUUCCGCGCCGCAUUUGCUAGUUGGUAAGAUAACGGCUUAACAAGGCGACGAUGCGUAGCCGACCUGAGAGGGGGAUCGGCCACACUGGAACUGAGACACGGUCCAGACUCCUACGGGAGGCAGCAGUAGGGAAUCUCCCGCAAUGGGCGAAAGCCUGACGGAGCAAGCCCGCGUGAGUGAUGAAGGUCUUCGGAUCGUAAAACCCUGUUAUUGGGGAAGAACAAAUGUGGAAGGAAAUAUGCACGUCUUGACGGUACCUUAUCAGAAAGCCACGGCUAACUACGUG